Molecule: ribosomal RNA, 601 nt
Filed under: uncultured eukaryote
Lineage: Eukaryota
Description: eukaryotic LSU rRNA
Rfam family: 5.8S ribosomal RNA (bases 243-396)
Source: RNAcentral
UAAAAGUCGUAACAAGGUUUCCGUAGGUGAACCUGCGGAAGGAUCAUUACCGUUUACUCACUCCAAGUUGGGGAUAGGAGUAGUACACCGUGAACCGUUCUGAACGCCUGGAGGUAGCCCCGCCGCCGCCUUAAACUGCCGGCAAUUUCAAUUGCUGGCGGCCUCCUGCACAAAAAUGUUUUUUGUAUUUGUGUCAGAAAAGUUACUAUUACAGAGAGCUGGGUUUAAUAAAUAAUGAGGAAAACUUUUGACGGUGGAUCUCUUGGCUCGUGCAUCGAUGAAGAACGCAGCCAGGUGCGAUAAGUAGUGUGAAUUGCAGAAUUCAGUGAAUCAUCGAAUCUUUGAACGCAAAUGGCGCUCCUGGGUCUUCCCAGGAGCAUGUCUGUCUGAGUGUCGGUUCCAAAAACAUAUCGUGCUUUGCACGGCGUUGGGGCGUCACGAGCAGUCGUGUCCCCUGAAAGACAGCGGUGAGAACCCUGGGCUCGGGGUGCGGCCAAACUGUAUGUUGUUAACCGCACUGCGUGAAGGGUUCUUAUCCGAGAAGACACCAUCAUUGACCUCAGAUCAGGCAAGAUUACCCGCUGAAUUUAAGCAUAUCAAU